RNAcentral lists this ribosomal RNA (1289 nucleotides) under metagenome. RNAcentral's name for it is "SSU rRNA". It matches the Rfam family "Eukaryotic small subunit ribosomal RNA", at positions 483 to 1786 of the family's 1831-position model. The record is from RNAcentral.
AUGCGGGACUCAUCAGAGGCCUCGCAAUUGGAAUGAGCGCACUUUAAAUCGUUCGACGAGGAUCUAUUGGAGGGCAAGUCUGGUGCCAGCAGCCGCGGUAAUUCCAGCUCCGAUAGCGUAUAUUAAAGUUGUUGCAGUUAAAAAGCUCGUAGUUGGAUCUGGGGUUCGGGUCGGCGGUUUGCCGCUUCGGCGGCUACUGCCGUGCUCGACUCUUACUAGCCGGUGCGUCUUGCGGUGCUCUUCAUCGAGUGCCGUAGGAGCCUGGCAUGUUUACUUUGAAAAAAUUAGAGUGCUCAAAGCAGGCGAUUCCGCCUGAAUAGUGUUGCAUGGAAUAAUGGAAUAGGACCUCGGUUCUAUUUUGUUGGUUUUCGGAACUUGAGGUAAUGAUUAAGAGAGACGGUCGGGGGCAUUCGUAUUUCGGUGUUAGAGGUGAAAUUCUUGGAUCGCUGAAAGACGGACAAAUGCGAAAGCAUCUGCCAAGAACGCCUCCAUUAAUCAAGAACGAAAGUCAGAGGUUCGAAGACGAUCAGACACCGUCCUAGUUCUGACCAUAAACGAUGCCAACUAGCGAUCCGCAGUGGUUGCUAUAAACGGACUCUGCGAGCAGCUUCCGGGAAACCAAAGUGUUUGGGUUCCGGGGGAAGUAUGGUUGCAAAGCUGAAACUUAAAGGAAUUGACGGAAGGGCACCACCAGGAGUGGAGCCUGCGGCUUAAUUUGACCCAACACGGGGAAACUCACCCGGUCCGGACACUGUAAGGAUUGACAGAUCGAGAGCUCUUUCUUGAUUCGGUGGAUGGUGGUGCAUGGCCGUUCUUAGUUGGUGGAGUGAUUUGUCUGGUUAAUUCCGAUAACGAACGAGACUCUAGCCUGCUAACUAGUUGCGCCGUGUUCAUACGCGGCUGUAGACUUCUUAGAGGGACAGGUGGCGUUUAGCCACACGAAAUUGAGCAAUAACAGGUCUGUGAUGCCCUUAGAUGUCCGGGGCCGCACGCGCGCUACACUGAAGGAGUCAGCGUGUGCUAUCAGGGCUCGGAAGAGUUCGGUAACCCGUUGAAACUCCUUCGUGCUUGGGAUUGUGGCUUGUAAUUAUCGCGCAUGAACGAGGAAUUCCCAGUAAGUGCAAGUCAUCAGCUUGCGCUGACUACGUCCCUGCCCUUUGUACACACCGCCCGUCGCUACUACCGAUUGAAUGGUUUAGCAAGGUACUCGGAUUGGUCUCGAUCUUGUACGAAAGUGCGGGAUCUGUGGCCGAGAAGAAGGCCAAACUUGAUCAUUUAGAGGAAGUAAA